RNAcentral lists this long non-coding RNA (1617 nucleotides) under Mus musculus (house mouse). RNAcentral's name for it is "long non-coding RNA chr11:20225236-20226853". The record is from RNAcentral. Lineage: Eukaryota; Metazoa; Chordata; Mammalia; Rodentia; Muridae.
GUCUGUCAGUUUCCACGCAUAAAGUUUAGUGAGACGUUAUAUGUAAGAUCUGAUUUGCUAGUUCUUCCUGGUAGAGUUAUAAAUGGAAAGAUUACACUAUCUGAUUAAUAGUUUCUUCAUACUCUGCAUAUAAUUUGUGGCUGCAGAAUAUUGUAAUUUGUUGCACACUAUGUAACAAAACUGAAGAUAUGUUUAAUAAAUAUUGUACUUAUUGGAAGUAAUAUCAAACUGUAUGGUGAUAAGUAUUGUUUUAAUUCCUAUGAUUAAAGGGAAAUAGAGCUUUGCAUUCUACUCAGCAGCCACGUGUGUGCAGCAAGGGCACUGUAGACCUAUCUUAAUAGCACAGCAUCCAGGGUUUGCUUUCUAGUAAUAGGUCUGAUGAGUGACCUAGAGAAGCUUUUGUGCUGUGUAGAGACUUCACCACCUUCAUUGGUUCAAGGAACUCAAACUCUAGUGCUUCAUCUCCAGCCCAGGCCACCUGAAGUGGCUUCACCAGCAACCCUUUUUUCCCUCAUCUGUGGUAGAGAUGGAGAGCAGCCCAUGCUUCCUCCCAGGCAGUGAUCUGGUAAUAGUGCUGGUGUUUCUUCAUGCUCAGUCUGAUGGCGCACACACCUUUUUCUUUCUUUUUUCUUUUUGGCUAUUGGAGAUAGGGUUUCUCUGUGUAUCCCUGGCUGUCCUGGAACUCUCUCUGUAGACCAGGCUGGCCUCGAACUCAGGGAUCCACCUAGCUCUGUCUCUGAGUGCUGAGACUGAAGGUGUGCGCCGCCACGCCUGGCUUUUUUCCCCUUUCUUUUUUGAGACAGGGUCUUACUAUGUAGCCCUGGCUAGCCUGGAACUUAAGUAUGUACAACAGGCUGCCUCCCCCUCCCCCAUUCACCUGCCUUUUCCUCAAAAGUGCUGGGAUUAAAUGAUGUCCCAGACUGCACCUAUUUUUUGAGACAAUGUCUCAUAUAGCUCAAGAGGCCUCAAAUUCACUUGUAACCAAGGAUGCCCUUGAACUCCUGAUCCUCCUGCCUCCACUUCCAGGUGUCAACUUUAUUCUUUCCAAUUGUAUGAAUCAUGUUGGUGGAGAGUUUAAGCAUUAGAAUAGAAAGCAGGAAAUGUGAUUGCCCUAAUUGUAGAAAUUCUAUCUCCCCCCCCCCCCAAAUUAAAUGAAAACAUGAACGCUAGAUGGGAAUGAUGGGAGAAAUAAUAUAUUUAUUUCGGUGAAAUUUUGCAUGUGUGAAAGUUUGUUAACUAGGAUCUUCGAAAUCCUAGACUUUGCUUUUGUCUUACUGUGGGAAACAAAGUCUCUUGCAGACACUAGCAUUUUAAGGUGACAAAGGUCAGAGAUUGUUUCCUUUGGUUUAAGGAGCAGCCAAGCAUUCUUCAAUUGGGGGCUAGGGUAGGGUAUGGCUGUUGAUAACACAUUUUAUCAUGGGGUCUUUAAUGAUAAAAUAUUAAACUAAAAAUAAGCCAGAAAUUACAGGUUUAUUUUUCACUAAACAGACAAUUGAAAUACAUGGUACAAAAAUAAGUGGUAAGAUUAUUGUAAAUUGAAAAAUGGACAGAAUAAAUAUUCAAUUUAAUUUUCCAUCUAUGAGAAUUUCACAAUAAAAUCAUAGUUUACUUUGUAUU